Molecule: ribosomal RNA, 446 nt
Filed under: uncultured bacterium
Lineage: Bacteria
Description: partial 16S ribosomal RNA
Rfam family: Bacterial small subunit ribosomal RNA
Source: RNAcentral
CCUACGGGUGGCAGCAGUCGAGAAUAAUUCACAAUGGGGGAAACCCUGAUGGUGCGACGCCGCGUGGGGGAAUGAAGGUCUUCGGAUUGUAAACCCCUGUCAUGUGGGAGCAAAUUAAAAAGAUAGUACCACAAGAGGAAGAGACGGCUAACUCUGUGCCAGCAGCCGCGGUAAUACAGAGGUCUCAAGCGUUGGUCGGAAUCACUGGGCGUAAAGGGUGCGUAGGCUGUUUCGUAAGUCGUGUGUGAAAGGCGCGGGCUCAACCCGCGGACGGCACAUGAUACUGCGAGACUAGAGUAAUGGAGGGGGAACCGGAAUUCUCGGUGUAGCAGUGAAAUGCGUAGAUAUCGAGAGGAACACUCGUGGCGAAGGCGGGUUCCUGGACAUUAACUGACGCUGAGGCACGAAGGCCAGGGGAGCGAAAGGGAUUAGAUACCCCUGUAGUC